Non-coding RNA from Nicotiana tabacum (common tobacco), 3132 nucleotides. The record is from RefSeq and is a predicted model, not a curated record. Lineage: Eukaryota; Viridiplantae; Streptophyta; Magnoliopsida; Solanales; Solanaceae.
CUUCUUUCUUCCUCUUUGGUGAAAGGUCACAACCUCCAUCAUCCAUGGCAGAAACUUGCCCCUCCAAUUUGAGUAAGUUCUUAUAUCUCAUUCAAUUUUUUCUCACAACACGUGAAGCCUGCUGAAUCCGUCCAAACCUCCAACGUUCGGAUUCGAACGGAUAUGUUGACCAAGAUUUCGAAUCCGAGAAUCCGAAAUUUCAAAUUCCCGCUCUACAGAAAUCCUUGUUGUUUUUCACCUAUAAAUACAUCCUAAAGUCUCAGCCGAGGAGGACAUCCUGGAAUCUCGAAAAAAAUCAUAUUUACACUUUCAACUUUUGUAUUCUAUCUCUCUCAAGUUUCAAUUCGAAAUACAAAAGGGUAGAUCUGAAACGACCUCCGAGCCUCAGUUUCACUGCCCAACAAAAGGUAAAUUCGACUCUGUUCUUUUUAAUUUUGCUAUUACAAUAUUGUGUUUAGAAAUCAUGUCUUUAGUAGUUAUAGCUAAAAUCUUCUAAUAGCAUGUUAUUAUUCAAAUCUGUUGAGAAUUAUUUUUUUUAGUUAUGGCUUCAAUUACGAAUCUUAGCUGUAGAAUAGUACUAUUUCUUCAAAGUUAAUUGACUUGUUAAUUGAACUUGUUUGAUUGUAAGUUAUUGAUUUUGUGGUAGAAAAUCUGUUAAGAAGUUUAUUAAAACACGACUUACGUCUUUAGACACCAUGUCAUAAGAAAAUCUUGUUACCAAUAAGUUCUGCUGCAAGUCUUUGGUAUGUUAAUGUGUAUUCAUCUGUUUAGAAACUUGGUUAACAUGUUUGGCAUUUUAUUAUUUGAAAAUAUCUAUCCAAAAGUUCCCCUUGUUACUUUCACAUGUCUAACUUGUUUCCUUUUAAAUUUGGGUGUAUACUUCCUGACAUUGUUUAUACAAAAGUAUGUCAUAAUAGAAACUACAAUUUUCUUUUAGCUUCAAGAACAGAGUACUACUUAAGAAUCUAUAUCUAUAAGUACAUGCUAAGUGUAUAAUCCAUACUUAAAUGCCCUGCUUUAAGUCUCUUUCGUCCUUAGAUUAGUAUGAUAUGGGAACUGUGACUAUAGGAAGUCUUUGCAUUUGUCCUACAUAAGUUGAACGGAAUAUUUGUAUAAAAUGUCACUGCUAUAGAUAUUAAAAUUACUAAUAAGUUCAAUUAUUAGUUUAGGAGCCAUGUUGUAAGAUCAUUCUUUCACGUUCGAAAUGCCAUGUGCGUAGUUUGUCCCUUCACGUUGUUAUGACUAUGUUUAAAGAUACUUGUCAAAAUGUAGCUUGAAGUUCUGUUAAGCUUUAGAUAUAUGCAGGUUUGUUGACUUGCUUAAAUCCUUUCUAUGUUAAAUUAAUACUGUCUUAUAAGCUUCUUCAUUUUUCAUAUAGUAGUCAGAAUUGAAUUUCUUAUUUUCUAAUUCUUAUUCUCUUCUUAUUUUGUCAUGUACACUUUGGGAGCAACAUGGAACCUUAGUGCAAGACACUUCGUGCUUGAGUCAUCACAUCCUAUCUUCUUUAACCGCAUCAGAAAAGAAGAAAACAAGCGAGAAAAUCGCUUGGCCUAUGGCAUCUUUCCUAUGUUUUAUUUAUCAUUUGUUCUAUUUUAACUCUUCUAUGAUUGCUAUGUUGAAAUUCACACUCAGAAUAGGAUUAUUAGUAAAGUUUUACUUAAUCACUUAGGUUCUUUCCUCUAUCUCAUUAUAGAAGUAAUUGUUUUAUCACAUAUAAUAGGACAUCUACUUUCAAGACUUAGAAGUCAAUUUACCCAAAAUCUUUUAUAGAUUAAUCUAUAUUUGUUUAGCUUAUUUAAAAGAUUCAAAUUUAACUUUCUUAUAAAUAACGCUUAAAUCUCUUUCCCAUUUUUUGUCAAAUGUUCUAUCAAAGUUAAAGCUCAAAGCUCAAAGCUGGUCAUAUUGGAAUUCAUUUUUAUAAAGAUUUUCUUAAAAAAUGAAAUAUGCUUUUGUCCAUCGGACUAAUUCAAAUUUAGAUAAUUGUAAUUGGUGCCUAAAUUAAUGAACUAAGUUCGGAAGGCAACCGCAAAUUUAGAUAAUUGUAAUUGGUGCCUAAAUUAAUGAACUAAGUUCGGAAGGCAACCGCAAAUUUAGAUAAUUGUAAUUGGUGCCUAAAUUAAUGAACUAAGUUCGGAAGGCAACCGCAAAUUUAGAUAAUUGUAAUUGGUGCCUAAAUUAAUGAACUAAGUUCGGAAGGCAACCGCGUUUUAUACGGAUUUUAAGGGGUACCUCACACCUUCCCCUCAAUUUAACUAGAAGCCCCUUAAGCAGAAUUUUUAGUCAAGUCGACCUUAAUGGAGUCUUACUUUCCAUACUUAAUUAAUUGAUUUGGGUUACCUAAUUCACCCUUAAAAUAAUUAGGUGGCGACUCUUUUAAUUCAAUAAUCACCAAUAUGUUAUACGCUAAUUUGAUCCGUGUUAUAAUGGUGUAUAACAUGCAGAAGCUGGUGCUUCGCACCCGCGGAGGAGCUGUCAGAAGCGGGCGAAGAUGGAGUUGGGGAAGAGCGCAGGUGCGCAAGAGGGACCGUAGAUGCGGAAGGUCCCAGGCUGAAGGAAAUCGUAGAUGCGAUAUUUUUGACCGCAAUGGCAGAACCACAAAUGCGGUUAAGUGACCCGCAGAUGGAAAAUUACUGGCAGAGUUUAUAUUCGACGUGUUUGAUUGUUUUUCUUAUUUUGGGAGUUGUGGAGCUCGGCUAAGAGUGAUUUUUGAGAAACAUUUUGCUGCAAUUGAAAAGAUUUAAGUUGCACGGAGGUCGAUUCAUGUGGCAAGGGCUUUUUGGAGUACUGCUCUUCGCGUUUUGAGAUUUUAGGUCUUUCUGGACCCGGUAGCGGGUGUUGAUUGCUCAGUGGCAGAGUCAUCGGAGUUAGCAAGAUCCAGGUACUUCGGUGCAUGUUGAUUGCUAGAGUUGAUUUGGUUCUAGCAUUUUGGACACUACGAGGUAGCUGAUAUGUUGUCCGCAGACCUUGAAGUUUUCUUUCAUUUAUUUAUGUUAUUACUGUAAGCACGUGAUUUUCAGACAGUUGUAUUGAGGAUUUGGUCUUGUAUUUUGAUAUUCAGUAGCGUCCAUGUACUCGCUGACACCAUAUCAUUGGGAUGGUUGUAGAAAUAAUAGUGUUGUUUCCCAGUUAUUU